GAUGAACGCUGGCGGCGUGCUUAACACAUGCAAGUCGAACGGUGAAGGCGGAGCUUGCUCUGCUGGAUCAGUGGCGAACGGGUGAGGAACACGUGAGCAAUCUGCCCCUGACUCUGGGAUAAGCGCUGGAAACGGCGCCUAAUACUGGAUACGAGCUGCGAAGGCAUCUUCAGCAGCUGGAAAGAAUUUCGGUCAGGGAUGAGCUCGCGGCUUAUCAGCUUGUUGGUGAGGUAAUGGCUCACCAAGGCGUCGACGGGUAGCCGGCCUGAGAGGGUGACCGGCCACACUGGGACUGAGAGACGGCCCAGACUGCUACGGGGGGCAGCAGGGGGGAAUAUUGCACAAUGGGAGAAAGCCUGAUGCAGCAACGCCGCGUGAGGGAAGACGGCCUUCGGGUUGUAAACCUCUUUUGGCAGGGAAGAAGCGAAAGUGACGGUACCUGCAGAAAAAGCGCCGGCUAACUACGUG
Molecule: ribosomal RNA, 468 nt
Filed under: uncultured bacterium
Lineage: Bacteria
Description: partial 16S ribosomal RNA
Rfam family: Bacterial small subunit ribosomal RNA
Source: RNAcentral